Molecule: non-coding RNA, 68 nt
Filed under: Candidatus Omnitrophota
Lineage: Bacteria; Pseudomonadati
Description: Candidatus Omnitrophica Fluoride sequence
Rfam family: Fluoride riboswitch aptamer (crcB RNA motif)
Source: RNAcentral
GUAGUUUUAGGCGAUGGGGUUCGCCUGAUAGCUAGACUGCCAAUGCGGCUGAUAACUCCUAUUGUUCC